Long non-coding RNA from Vidua chalybeata, 4234 nucleotides. RefSeq lists it as uncharacterized. The transcript is spliced from 9 exons. NCBI's taxonomy places the organism in Eukaryota, Metazoa, Chordata, Aves, Passeriformes, Viduidae. The record is from RefSeq and is a predicted model, not a curated record.
GCUCCGCCGACGCUACCGGAGCAUCCCCCACAGGUAUUGUAUUUUCCCAAAUAGGGUACGGAUCCCCACGGAGAGCGGCGGAGCAUCCCCGGGGUGAGAAAGGAAGACACGGACAGAGCAUCCCCGGGGCAGCAAGCACCGAGAGCGGCCGAGCACCGCCCCAGAGCGAGGGACACGGAACCGGGAGCACCACGGGGACCCAUGGAGCAUCCACCCGGGUCAGCGGUGAAGAGGGUGCCGGGAUCGGGCGGGAGGAGCACGGACACCCACCGGAUCAUCCCCCACAGGGUAGGAAUCCCCACGGAGCAGCGAGAGCUGCGGAGCAUCCCCGGGGUGCGAAGGGAGGACACCGACAGAGAAUCCCUUGGGUCAACGAGCGCCGAGAGCGACCGAGCAUCCCCGUGGUGAGGACGACGGUGCCAGGAGCAGCACGGAGAGUGAGAUAGCAUCCCCCGGAGGUGAGAAGGGUGGACACCAACAGAGAAUCUCCCAGGGCAGCGGCGAAAACGGUGCCGGGAUCGGGAGGGAGCUCCGCCGACGCUACCGGAGCAUCCCCCACAGGUAUUGUAUUUUCCCAAAUAGGGUACGGAUCCCCACGGAGAGCGGCGGAGCAUCCCCGGGGUGAGAAAGGAAGACACGGACAGAGCAUCCCCCGGGGCAGCAAGCACCGAGAGCGGCCGAGCACCGCCCCAGAGCGAGGGACACGGAACCGGGAGCACCACGGGGACCCAUGGAGCAUCCACCCGGGUCAGCGGUGAAGAGGGUGCCGGGAUCGGGCGGGAGGAGCACGGACACCCACCGGAUCAUCCCCCACAGGGUAGGAAUCCCCACGGAGCAGCGAGAGCUGCGGAGCAUUCCCGGGGUGCGAAGGGAGGACACCGACAGAGAAUCCCUUGGGUCAACGAGCGCCGAGAGCGACCGAGCAUCCCCGUGGUGAGGACGACGGUGCCAGGAGCAGCACGGAGAGUGAGAUAGCAUCCCCCGGAGGUGAGAAGGGUGGACACCAACAGAGAAUCUCCCAGGGCAGCGGCGAAAACGGUGCCGGGAUCGGGAGGGAGCUCCGCCGACGCUACCGGAGCAUCCCCCACAGGUAUUGUAUUUUCCCAAAUAGGGUACGGAUCCCCACGGAGAGCGGCGGAGCAUCCCCGGGGUGAGAAAGGAAGACACGGACAGAGCAUCCCCCGGGGCAGCAAGCACCGAGAGCGGCCGAGCACCGCCCCAGAGCGAGGGACACGGAACCGGGAGCACCACGGGGACCCAUGGAGCAUCCACCCGGGUCAGCGGUGAAGAGGGUGCCGGGAUCGGGCGGGAGGAGCACGGACACCCACCGGAUCAUCCCCCACAGGGUAGGAAUCCCCACGGAGCAGCGAGAGCUGCGGAGCAUUCCCGGGGUGCGAAGGGAGGACACCGACAGAGAAUCCCUUGGGUCAACGAGCGCCGAGAGCGACCGAGCAUCCCCGUGGUGAGGACGACGGUGCCAGGAGCAGCACGGAGAGUGAGAUAGCAUCCCCCGGAGGUGAGAAGGGUGGACACCAACAGAGAAUCUCCCCAGGGCAGCGGCGAAAACGGUGCCAGGAUCGGGAGGGAGCUCCGCCGACGCUACCGGAGCAUCCCCCACAGGUAUUGUAUUUUCCCAAAUAGGGUACGGAUCCCCACGGAGAGCGGCGGAGCAUCCCCGGGGUGAGAAAGGAAGACACGGACAGAGCAUCCCCCGGGGCAGCAAGCACCGAGAGCGGCCGAGCACCGCCCCAGAGCGAGGGACACGGAACCGGGAGCACCACGGGGACCCAUGGAGCAUCCACCCGGGUCAGCGGUGAAGAGGGUGCCGGGAUCGGGCGGGAGGAGCACGGACACCCACCGGAUCAUCCCCCACAGGUAAGGGAUAUUCUCAAAUAGGGUAGGAAUCUACAGGGAGCACCGAGAGUGGCGGAUCAUCCCCGGGUGAAAAGGGAAGACUCGGGCAGAGCAUCCCCCGGGGCAGGGGUGAAGACGGUGGCGGGAUCGGGCGGAAGCUCUGCAGACACUACCGGAGCAUCCCCCAGAGGUAAUGUGUUUUCCCAAAUAGGGUAGGAAUCCCCACGGAGCAGCGAGAGCUGCGGAGCAUCCCGGGGUGCGAAGGGAGGACACCGACAGAGAAUCCCUUGGGUCAACGAGCGCCGAGAGCGACCGAGCAUCCCCGUGGUGAGGACGACGGUGCCAGGAGCAGCACGGAGAGUGAGAUAGCAUCCCCCGGAGGUGAGAAGGGUGGACACCAACAGAGAAUCUCCCCAGGGCAGCGGCGAAAACGGUGCCGGGAUCGGGAGGGAGCUCCGCCGACGCUACCGGAGCAUCCCCCACAGGUAUUGUAUUUUCCCAAAUAGGGUACGGAUCCCCACGGAGAGCGGCGGAGCAUCCCCGGGGUGAGAAAGGAAGACACGGACAGAGCAUCCCCCGGGGCAGCAAGCACCGAGAGCGGCCGAGCACCGCCCCAGAGCGAGGGACACGGAACCGGGAGCACCACGGGGACCCAUGGAGCAUCCACCCGGGUCAGCGGUGAAGAGGGUGCCGGGAUCGGGCGGGAGGAGCACGGACACCCACCGGAUCAUCCCCCACAGGGUAGGAAUCCCCACGGAGCAGCGAGAGCUGCGGAGCAUUCCCGGGGUGCGAAGGGAGGACACCGACAGAGAAUCCCUUGGGUCAACGAGCGCCGAGAGCGACCGAGCAUCCCCGUGGUGAGGACGACGGUGCCAGGAGCAGCACGGAGAGUGAGAUAGCAUCCCCCGGAGGUGAGAAGGGUGGACACCAACAGAGAAUCUCCCAAGGGCAGCGGCGAAAACGGUGCCAGGAUCGGGAGGGAGCUCCGCCGACGCUACCGGAGCAUCCCCCACAGGUAUUGUAUUUUCCCAAAUAGGGUACGGAUCCCCACGGAGAGCGGCGGAGCAUCCCCGGGGUGAGAAAGGAAGACACGGACAGAGCAUCCCCCGGGGCAGCAAGCACCGAGAGCGGCCGAGCACCGCCCCAGAGCGAGGGACACGGAACCGGGAGCACCACGGGGACCCAUGGAGCAUCCACCCGGGUCAGCGGUGAAGAGGGUGCCGGGAUCGGGCGGGAGGAGCACGGACACCCACCGGAUCAUCCCCCACAGGGUAGGAAUCCCCACGGAGCAGCGAGAGCUGCGGAGCAUCCCCGGGGUGCGAAGGGAGGACACCGACAGAGAAUCCCUUGGGUCAACGAGCGCCGAGAGCGACCGAGCAUCCCCGUGGUGAGGACGACGGUGCCAGGAGCAGCACGGAGAGUGAGAUAGCAUCCCCCGGAGGGUAGGGAUCCCCACGGAGAGCGGCGGAGCAUCCCCGGGGUGAGAAAGGAAGACACGGACAGAGCAUCCCCCGGGGCAGCAAGCACCGAGAGCGGCCGAGCACCGCCCCAGAGCGAGGGACACGGAACCGGGAGCACCACGGGGACCCAUGGAGCAUCCACCCGGGUCAGCGGUGAAGAGGGUGCCGGGAUCGGGCGGGAGGAGCACGGACACCCACCGGAUCAUCCCCCACAGGGUAGGAAUCCCCACGGAGCAGCGAGAGCUGCGGAGCAUCCCCGGGGUGCGAAGGGAGGACACCGACAGAGAAUCCCUUGGGUCAACGAGCGCCGAGAGCGACCGAGCAUCCCCGUGGUGAGGACGACGGUGCCAGGAGCAGCACGGAGAGUGAGAUAGCAUCCCCCGGAGGUGAGAAGGGUGGACACCAACAGAGAAUCUCCCAAGGGCAGCGGCGAAAACGGUGCCAGGAUCGGGAGGGAGCUCCGCCGACGCUACCGGAGCAUCCCCCACAGGUAUUGUAUUUUCCCAAAUAGGGUACGGAUCCCCACGGAGAGCGGCGGAGCAUCCCCGGGGUGAGAAAGGAAGACACGGACAGAGCAUCCCCCGGGGCAGCAAGCACCGAGAGCGGCCGAGCACCGCCCCAGAGCGAGGGACACGGAACCGGGAGCACCACGGGGACCCAUGGAGCAUCCACCCGGGUCAGCGGUGAAGAGGGUGCCGGGAUCGGGCGGGAGGAGCACGGACACCCACCGGAUCAUCCCCCACAGGGUAGGAAUCCCCACGGAGCAGCGAGAGCUGCGGAGCAUCCCCGGGGUGCGAAGGGAGGACACCGACAGAGAAUCCCUUGGGUCAACGAGCGCCGAGAGCGACCGAGCAUCCCCGUGGUGAGGACGACGGUGCCAGGAGCAGCACGGAGAGUGAGAUAGCAUCCCCCGGAGGUGA